CCUGAGGGCCCUCUUCCUCAUUAGAGGCACACAAGUGGGGCCCUCUAGGCCCCACACCCUCUGGGCGCGUGCCCUCCCUGACUCCCUACGCCAAGACUAAAAAAUUUGAAGACUCAGACCACAUGUUCCUACCUCACAAUCUCUCUAAAAAGAGCCUCUCUAUACUGAACCGGCUCCUGUCACCUGAGAAAUCUGCUGGAAAAGAAAGCUGGAUAUUGAAGCAGCAAGACCCAGAGGAAGAAGCUGCUGUCCUCUUUGGAGCUCGAUGGGGUGGCCCUGGGCCUGGCCCCCACCCAGGCCUGACAGAGGCAGGAGGGUAUGGCGGGGGCCUAGGGCUUUGCCCCAGACCUUGGACCCCGCAGCGUCUGCCAGGAGACGUCGGAGGAAACGCUUUUACCACCUGGGCGACCUUGA
Molecule: long non-coding RNA, 414 nt
Filed under: Homo sapiens (human)
Lineage: Eukaryota; Metazoa; Chordata; Mammalia; Primates; Hominidae
Description: HSALNT0120399
Source: RNAcentral